CAGAAAAUAGUUUAAUUAAAAUAUUAAUUUUGGAGAUUAAUGAUAAGAAAAUAUCUUUUUUCUGA
RNAcentral lists this transfer RNA (65 nucleotides) under Trachys troglodytiformis. RNAcentral's name for it is "tRNA-Pro". Lineage: Eukaryota; Metazoa; Arthropoda; Insecta; Coleoptera; Buprestidae. The record is from RNAcentral.